This 468-nucleotide ribosomal RNA is filed under the name uncultured bacterium. Its description in RNAcentral is "partial 16S ribosomal RNA". The stretch from base 53 to 468 matches the Rfam family "Bacterial small subunit ribosomal RNA", at positions 39 to 507 of the family's 1533-position model. The record is from RNAcentral.
GGGGGGGGGGGGGGGGGGGGGGGGGGGGUGGGGGGCGGGCGGGGGGGCGGGGGGGGUGUGGGGUGGGCGAGGGGCGAGGGGGGGAGUAGCGGGGGAGGGGCCUGCCCUUGGCUUUGGGGUGACUGCAGGGGGCUGGGGCUCAUACCGGAUAGGAGCGCCUGCUGCAUGGUUGGGGUUGGGAAGUUUCGGCGGUUGGGGAUGGACUCGCGGCUUAUCAGCUUGUUGGUGGGGUAGUGGCUUACCAAGGCUUUGACGGGUAGCCGGCCUGGGAGGGUGACCGGCCACAUUGGGACUGAGAUACGGCCCAGACUCCUACGGGAGGCAGCAGUGGGGAAUAUUGCACAAUGGGCGGAAGCCUGAUGCAGCAACGCCGCGUGCGGGAUGACGGCCUUCGGGUUGUAAACCGCUUUCGCCUGUGACGAAGCGUGAGUGACGGUAAUGGGUAAAGAAGCACCGGCUAACUACGUG